CCCUUAGAUGUCCUGGGCCGCACGCGCGUUACACUGAUGCAUUCAACGAGCUUAUAACCUUGGCCGAGAGGCCUGGGCAAUCUUGUUAACGUGCAUCGUGAUAGGGAUAGAUUAUUGAAAUUAUUAAUCUUGAACGAGGAAUUCCUAGUAAACGCAGAUCAUCAAUCUGCAUUAAUUACGUCCCUGCCCUUUGUACACACCGCCCGUCGCUCCUACCGAUUGAAUGAUCCGAUGAAUAUCAUGGAUUGAGGAUGCAAGUAGGUUCGCCUAUCUUCAUCUUCGAGAAGUGAAGUAAAUCUUAUCAUUUAGAGGAAGGAGAAGUCGUAACA
This 329-nucleotide ribosomal RNA is filed under the name uncultured eukaryote. Its description in RNAcentral is "partial 18S ribosomal RNA". It matches the Rfam family "Eukaryotic small subunit ribosomal RNA", at positions 1470 to 1796 of the family's 1831-position model. The record is from RNAcentral.